Molecule: long non-coding RNA, 465 nt
Organism: Priapulus caudatus
Lineage: Eukaryota; Metazoa; Priapulida; Priapulimorpha; Priapulimorphida; Priapulidae
Exons: 3
Source: RefSeq, a predicted model, not a curated record
UCGGUGCGAACUACGUUUCACCGCCUUUCCUGCUCUUCUUACCUAAGCUGAAGCGAGUGAGGAAUCUCAACGCGCAGAUCGCUGAUUCGCAGUCUGAAGCGUCGACGAGUGUGAGUAGGAUCAAUGCGAGCAGUAUCUCACAGAAACCGCCCGCAGUGCUAGCCAUAGAGCUGAAGAUCACCAAGGAUCGUCUGAGAGAGUACGAAGCAAAGAUCGAGGUACAAGAGAGAGUAAUCCGCGAUCUAAGAGCACGCAUUAUUGAUGCCUAAACACACGGACACGAUUAAUACCAAUCUGACCCACGGAUGGCGCCACUUUACUGCCGUGCAGAAUAAUGACAAAAGCGCGAAAUUCAGAAGGCACAAGCUAAAUUCUCAAUUAAAAACUCAAUUAAAAAUUAAAAAAGUCUCCUUUGUCAUCAGAGCAGGAGAUUACGAUUUACUUUCCAAUCCUCAGUCAAUAAAU